RNAcentral lists this small RNA (4011 nucleotides) under Histoplasma capsulatum. RNAcentral describes it as "hypothetical RNA". Lineage: Eukaryota; Fungi; Ascomycota; Eurotiomycetes; Onygenales; Ajellomycetaceae. The record is from RNAcentral.
UGAAACCUGAGGAUUGGAUGUAUUAAAGACCACUAUAUCCAGAUGCCAAUUCCAUGUGUGACCAGGACAAAAUAUAUGGCUGAACGAAUCGAAGCCGGUUCAGAGAAGACUUUUAUGAUUAUACCCUCAAAAGCCCAGCUGCCACAGUGGCUUUUGUACGACUAAAUCCUCUGUAUACUGUUUAUCGAGCCUCUUAGCACCCAUCCUUUAUGACAAGCUAACCGGUUAUAUGUUUCCUGACUACGCGUGCGCACUGUCAGCUGUCCACAAGCAUUUGGAUUUUCUAUCCCUAUCAUGAACAACGCAAGAAAACAGGCUUUAGCUACCUACCAAACCUAGGCUGACAGGCGGACAGAAAUUGUUAACGCACCCAGAAAGCUACAAACCGUUUCCGCAUGUUGAUAAUUAUUUGGACGACUGAGUCGAGCGGCUUUUGCUAAAUGGACUACGCCACCGGAAUCUUACCCAAUUCCCCGACGCGGGGAUGUCCCCGCUCUUGACGACACGAGGAGACGUGCCAGGAUCUCUUCCCGCAACCAUUCCCUUCGCCGGACGGACUGGAGGUGUCGGGCUAGCCCGAAAACCAUGGAUUGAAAGCGCUACCAGAGAUUGAACGGCAAUUAUGAGGAAGCCUGAGUGUUUGCGGAGCUAAGAAUAGAGAAGACACCGGGGUGGCGGAGACGUCAAGCUAGUAAACAUCGACAUGAAGGGGACCUCGGGAUGGGAGCUAGAAUAUUGUUUCUCUCAAAAAAAAGUCAGGAAUUUUACCCCAGCUGGAACACUGUCAGAAGAAUAUGACCCCCCUUGAGGUGAUGAUGCAAGCGAGAACGCAUGCCAAUUGAAGCCGCUAUCGAACCUGAGAUUCGCCCCAUAUAUUAUCCGGAGUUUCGACAAGCAUGCUGUUGUCUGAUUGGAAUCAGGAAUAGGGAGAAGCACUGGUGAUUGAUUUAUGGCGCAAAAGGGCGGAAGUUGCAAAAGAGCUUGGGAGCCCGGCCCCCUGGAGGAAUGCUGCAGGUACUCUGUAUCAAAUGGAGUGCGUCUCACGCAUAUUUAGCAUGGUAUCCGGUUGGAGAUACGUUGAUUCUCCCCGCUUAUUUCCGGGACUUCCACCAAGAGAACCCGACGGCGGAGCAUAAAUUUCUGCAAUAAUAAGACCGGGAAGUAAAUGGCUAGUUACGGGGUUUCUUCGGUUACAGUGAGAAGAUAGUAGGAAGAGUUAAAAAUCAGAGUUCCAUGCCUAUCUCCGCAUAUUUUAGGGAAAGCACCCUGGCUUCUCUUUGCUCAACCCGUUUUGCCAAGUGAGGCAUUCGAAGGCCGCAGCUGCGAAUGCAAGCCCUCCCCCCUCCCCUCAAGCACCCCACAAUGCACACUGCGUAAUCGAGAUAGUAUGUGCAGUCGUGUGAUCAAAUUCCCCGAACAGCCACCCAUUCAGCAUGCCACCAUAACGGAAAAUCUUGGCUUAGCAGAUGCUUAUUGAAAUAAGAAGCAAAGAUGAUUGCCAUCGACCCCACAGCGAGAAUUCACAAACAUAACGAAGCAAGACUAACAACAUGUUAGAUUCGGUGGAAUGGAUACAGGAGUUGAGAGAGCGGAAUCACACAAAGUACUCCGCAAGUAAUGUUAUUUGUGGGCUUUUAUUCCCUCUCCCAUUGCCAUAGCAUUCAGUUCUAACGGAGCCAGUCUUACUAGCCCUAAAGUAUUUUAAGUCAUUUUAUUGAUGUCGUGUUAAACAACAAACUCAAUUUGAAUAAUUGACCUCUCUGAUAUUCAAAUUAACAUUGCAUAGAUCCACUAGCGUUUCAAGCCUGAAUGACUGUGAUCGAUAUUUAGGCAAUUCUACAUGACUUUACUAAUUGGAGUCUUAAACUCCGCACUACAAACCUCCAUAUCCUCCAUACUCUUCACCCAUUCAUUCCCCGUCUAUCGCUCGUUACCUACUAGGAAACCAGAGUUGAUCCCAACAGAGACUGGAAUGGUUUUGCUCAUUUAAUCAACAUUUCCGAUUAUCCGAUAAGCAAGGAUGAAUGACAAGGGAGAGUCGCAAGUUUCCUGCUGUCAUCGCAGCUUGUUCUUGGGUGUGAUCGCGCUUCUCCAGGGCAAGAUCUUUCCCUUUGUCGAUGUCUUCAAUCCGGUUGCCUCCUCCUCCCUCCAUCGUGGUUGAAUUCAUUUGAUUUCAUCCUCUUUAGCCCAAUGGUCUUUUCUGGGUGGGCAUGCGAAGCGGCAUGCGCUAAAAGCACUUCCUCUUGAAACCAGGAGUUUUCCCACCCCCAUCCCGCCAGCUCAUUCUACGUUUUGCCAAGCCCAUUGCCGUUCCAAUUCAUUUCUAUUUGUAUAAUGUAGAGAUAUAGAGGGAAGUUUGAACAGGAAUUUCUCUUGGAAGUCCUCAGCCAGCUCCUUUUCUAUCUGCCUGAGGCAAUUGCAGACAUUCUGUUUCAGCCAAAAAAAAAAAAAACCAGCUUAAUCCACUUCUGCCUCCGAACUGAACAGGAGUUAAGCUUCUGCAUCUACUUGUGCAGAAACUUCUAGGGUUUUGGAGAUGGUUAUCCAAUCUUGCGACUCGGGCGAAACCACCGGCUUGGGUGGCCAAUAACUCCCAGUUAGAUGAAAUAUCAGAGCUUUGGGCUCAUCCUUGGGUGUGAUCGCUCAGAACCCAGCGAUAUACUAUUGUGGCAUCUAGUAUUGGGUUCAGUUUUAGAUCACUGGCUAGAAAAUGAAGUCGAUGGUAUAUCGAGUUUCAACUCAGCAUCACACCCAAUGAAUGUCCCUUCUUUCAAUGGUGGUUCAUCUUACAUACAUGUUUACCAUGUAUAAUGUUUCUCUAGCCACCCCCGCAUGUGUGAUGCGGGGGAAUUCUUAUGCUCAGGAUAUUGAUAUUUAUCCCGGAUUGAAACAUUCGUUGCAGAGUGCCCAGACUCUAAGCGAAAUGUAUCUUUGGGCUCCAUUAACCGCAUUUUUGCAGCCAUCGAAGCGGGGGAUAUGAAAUUCAAGGGUCUGAAGGGUAUAAAUAGUCUAGACAAAUUCCCUCUUUUUGUGCCUUUCUUUCUCUCUCUCAGACUGAUGGGUAGUAAUUGAGAUUCGGACAAUCUACAAUCUCGCGGCCUAAUCGUACAAAAGCGCAAUUUCCUCAACCCUGACAGACAUAAAGUAUCCAGGAUGAAACUAUCCGGAGCAGCCGUUCUCGCCCUUCUUGCGUCUUCUACAACAGCUGCGAGCUGGAACUGCCACGCCUCGGGCGGUGGUGGCCACCAAACGCUGUUACAGCUCCACGGCCAGUUCAACAGGCUAUUUGGAAACUCGAAACUCCAUAUCGCAGCUGACCAAUGCUAUUACGCUAAAUGCAACAGGCACUACUUUGGAGUUUGCAACCGCGCCUCGUACACUAAAUGGGAGAAAUCAGGGGACCGGAAUGUUGCGAAGAAUGCCAAUCCUGGAGGAGGUUCUGCGUGCGCAAUAUCUCCGAGUCCCGUUCAAGAACCCUACCUAGUCUAUAUUUUCAGUCAUGAAAAAGACAUUUCUAUCGGCGGCAGAAAGAACGACAUCAGGUAUUGCUAAGUUUGAUCGCAUGCCAAUUGACCACUCGACUGUCGGCUUAGAAGAACUUUGCUACCUACUAGCAGGCGGUGUCUUCACUUUAUACACUUGUAUCUACUAUAUCUGUUGUUGGAUGAAUAUAAGGAUAAAUAAAGCACCGUUUACUGCUUGUUUCAGUGGGUGGGGCGUGUUUUCUAGUCUGAUUAGUGAAAACAUUCCCGAGAGACUUCCAGGCUUCAGAUUCACGAGGUCAAGCAUGUUUAUUUAUCGUUCAUUCAUUCAUUUAUUCUAUUUGCCGUUUUAUUUAUAUAUUUUCUUCCGUUCGCAAAGUCCCCUACUAUGAGCAAUUUCGUGGACAUCAUUGCAUUUUCUUCAUAGGGAAAUUGAAAAUACUUAAAUCCUUGUGCAGACCGUUAAGGGAACAUCUUUCCAAAUGAUUUCACUUACGUCAACGAACCCAACUCAUAAAUACAUACAGGC